UACGUAGGGCGCGAGCGUUGUCCGGAAUUAUUGGGCGUAAAGAGCUCGUAGGCGGUUUGUCGCGUCGGAUGUGAAAACCCAGGGCUCAAUCCUGGGCCUGCAUUCGAUACGGGCAGACUAGAGUAUGGCAGGGGAGACUGGAAUUCCUGGUGUAGCGGUGAAAUGCGCAGAUAUCAGGAGGAACACCGGUGGCGAAGGCGGGUCUCUGGGCCAAAACUGACGCUGAGGAGCGAAAGCGUGGGGAGCGAACAGG
RNAcentral lists this ribosomal RNA (253 nucleotides) under uncultured bacterium. Its description in RNAcentral is "partial 16S ribosomal RNA". It matches the Rfam family "Bacterial small subunit ribosomal RNA", at positions 524 to 776 of the family's 1533-position model. The record is from RNAcentral.